AGCUUCCGCGAAGCCGGCGCCGGCACACGCCAGCGCCCCAGAAAGCUGAAGCCCGCUUUAUGUAGAAAACUGAAGGCCAGGCGGGAGGAAACCGCUUUUCUUUCCCAAAAGUCUUUUAUAGGCGCGGGUCUAGUCCCUGCUCCCGCCUCCUGUCCCCGCCCUCACCCCAGUUUUCCCUUGUCUUUGGAUUUUUUAGAACUGUCAGAUUUUCCUAAGGGCGCGGGGGGAGGGGGGGGGAAAUCUUUUCAACUUUUUAUUUCUCCCAAUACGGAGCUGUAUUAAUUCACGCAGAACACACAGCCCAAGUUCCUUGAUCAGCGAAAGGCAUAUUGAACACCGAUCCCCGCUCCCCUACCCCAUCCCAUUCCAGCCGCAGCGGGAGGGAAGGACCGGACUCCCCGCCGAAGGAGAGACCUGGUUGGAAGUGGAGGACCCUGGACUCAGGUGGAAAGUGACAACUGCCCCCCGGGCCGCCCGAGUCUCGUCCUCUGCGUCGGGAAGGGGCGGGGGACUCACCCAGGACGAGCAGCAGCGUGGGGACCUGGCGGGCGCGGCGCGGCUCCAUCCUUCUCGCGGACUCAUCCUGAUGGAUUCCACGUACACUCUAAGUAGGAAAUCUCCAAUGUUCAUGUCUUCAGUCCUCUCAUCAGGGAGUCCCUCAGCAAUUCUGAAGAAUGGGGAUGUUGUGUGAGUUGACUGAGCUCAGUUGGACGGAUCUUCCUGGGGGUCUUUCAUAUAAAUGGAGUCAAUUAGUGGCUGCAGCUUGAAGCAUCUCAACCUGUGACAUCGCUGGCUGUCUGAGGUGUUACAAUCACAGGCCUGCAGUUGAGCUCAUCUGGGGAUGCUGACUAGAGCACACAGACGUGGCCUCUCCAUGCAGCUGGACUUCUCACAGCCCCACAGCUGGCUUCCAGGAAACCCUGUCACAGCCAUGAGAACAAAUACAAGCCUCCCUGCUGGCAGAUCCAAAUCCUGUGGAAGAGAGCCGAGUCGUUUCAGGGAAGCCAUCCUAGACCAGCCAUCUAGCCAACCACCAGCUGAAGGCAGAUGUUUGAACAAGCCAAGUCAUGGUCAGAAUAUUUGAGGUAAGGUCACCAUAAUUGACCAGCUGAACCAGACUCAGGAGAAAUUUAUUUUAAAGGGUGGUUGUUUAAAUUGACUGAGUUUGCGGGUAUUUGGUUAUUUUUUAAUACAGCAAAAGCUGCAUAAUCCAUAUUAGUAAAUGACACAAAACUGGGCAGAAUAGCUAGUAGGUAGCUACUUUGGAAUAGUGGACUAUCAAUAGCAAUAAGAAUUUGAAAGAGGUUCUGUAUAUAAUUCUGACCAGCUGGCUGUACUUGAUUAAAAACUCACUAAAAACUAUUAGGUUGUUCCAAGACAAAUAAUGUCCAGAUACAGGGAUGUAAUGUUUUCCACUAUAUUUUCAGUAGACUCUCUCUGAAAAUGUUGGUUGUAUUCUGGAGGCUGAUCUCAAGAAGAAUGAUGAGAAUGAAUCUGGAAAUCAUGUCAUAUGGAACAAGUGCUAUCAAACUAGUUGGUUCAACUGUUUACCCAUCAGGUUGUGACAAGAAGAAAAGUUUAUGCCACAAUGUAAAUCAACUAUAUCAGUAAACAACCUUUUAAAUUCAGCUAUCUUUAUUUUUUCACAGAAAGAAUUUUUCAAUGAUAGCAAUAUGAUUUCUUUUUUUUUUUUUUUAAUUUUGGCAGUGCUGGGUCUUCUUGCAGUGUGCAGACACUUUGUUGCAGCACGUGGGCUUCUCUACUUGCAGCAUAUGCUGCAACUAGUUGUCCCGUGACAUGUAGGAUCUUAGUUCCCUGACCAGGGAUUGAACUCUUGUCCUCUGUAUUGGCAGGCAGAUUCUUAACCACUGGACCACGAGGGAAGUCCCAGUAUGCUGAUUUAUAUUCUGCCACAGCUCUUUAUGUUGAUGUGGAUCUAUAACUUAUAGUUCCCAAAGGGUAAGGAACAGCCAUGGGUUAGUAUUGGUCCACACACUGAAUAUCUCUGAAACAGAGGAAUGGUUGAAUAAAUUCAAGUUGCCUUUCUCAGGGAGGAAAAAAAAACCUAAAAACUAAAAAUAAUCAAAACCCAAUAAUUGUGCCUUCAAUGUGUUAAACUACAUAGGGAGUUGAUUUACUUUAUAUAUUUUCAGAAGGAAGAAUGAAGGGACAAGGAAGGGAAUAGAUUUUAGCUCAAUACAGAGAAUGUUUUAAGAAUAAUAAGCCACAAAGAGAAAUACUGUCCUUAUUCCCUAUUAGAAAUGUUCACAAUAGGGUAAAGAUGAGAUUGAAUUGGGAAAGUUAAUGAUGCUUUCAAAUUUUAUGAUUUAAAGAUUCUCUUUUGUCUAAUUAUAAUAAUUUUUUUUCUUUCUUCUCUCAAGUAAUUCAUUUCUGAAUCCUUGCAGACUUCUGACCCUGCCAUUCUGCUAAACAAAAGAAAGAAAGAAUACAAAUUGUAUUUAACAGUUGAAAUGAUAACAAAUAGGCAUAUAUGAUACCUACUUCAGAUAUGUUAAAUAAGUUGUCCACUGAUAUUGUUGUCUUGUAGAGACAAAUGACUGGAAGUAAAGUUGUUCAUUAAUUGUACCUUAAAAGACACUGAAAAGAAAUUUCUUAGACAUGAGGUAUUUGGUUCCCCAAAUAAACAAAUGCAAUGUAUUUAAAUUAAAUUAUUAUCAUUUGAUAAAGUGGCAUAUUAAAAACUAUUUAAACAUUUGGAAAAGACUUUCAGUUUAGUUCAGUUCAGUCACUCAGUCAUGUCUGACUCUUUGCGACCCCAUGGACUGAUUUUAGAUAUUAGUCUAAAAAAAGACUUUAGAUACUAGUAGAAUGUGAAGUCAGAAAAAUUUUUAUUUGUUUUUUUGUUAAAGUUGAAAAUGAACAGUAGUUUCAAGUGAACAUUUCCUAUGAGCUUUUUCUUUGUAAUGUGAUAGUUCCAUAGAAACCUGUCCUUAAUUCUUAUAUAAUUUGAAGACUCAAGCAUUAUAUAUGAGAACCAAAACCAUGCAUAUCCACUAUACUUACU
This is a long non-coding RNA of Bubalus bubalis (water buffalo), 3025 nucleotides long. RefSeq lists it as uncharacterized. The record is from RefSeq and is a predicted model, not a curated record. NCBI's taxonomy places the organism in Eukaryota, Metazoa, Chordata, Mammalia, Artiodactyla, Bovidae. The transcript has 4 exons.